This 407-nucleotide ribosomal RNA is filed under the name uncultured Flavobacteriia bacterium. Its description in RNAcentral is "bacterial SSU rRNA". It matches the Rfam family "Bacterial small subunit ribosomal RNA", at positions 427 to 832 of the family's 1533-position model. The record is from RNAcentral. Lineage: Bacteria; Pseudomonadati; Bacteroidota; Flavobacteriia.
AAACUUCUUUUAUAUACCAAGAAACCUUCGGACGUGUCCGAAGCUGACGGUAGUAUAUGAAUAAGCACCGGCUAACUCCGUGCCAGCAGCCGCGGUAAUACGGAGGGUGCAAGCGUUAUCCGGAUUUAUUGGGUUUAAAGGGUCCGUAGGCGGAUCAUUAAGUCAGUGGUGAAAGCCGACAGCUCAACUGUCGAACUGCCAUUGAUACUGGUGAUCUUGAGUACGGUUGAAGUAGGCGGAAUAUGACAUGUAGCGGUGAAAUGCUUAGAUAUGUCAUAGAACACCGAUUGCGAAGGCAGCCUACUAAGCCGUUACUGACGCUGAGGGACGAAAGUGUGGGGAGCGAACAGGAUUAGAUACCCUGGUAGUCCACACCGUAAACGAUGAUUACUCGGUAUUGGCUUUUU